Molecule: ribosomal RNA, 460 nt
Filed under: uncultured bacterium
Lineage: Bacteria
Description: partial 16S ribosomal RNA
Rfam family: Bacterial small subunit ribosomal RNA
Source: RNAcentral
CCUACGGGAGGCAGCAGUGAGGAAUAUUGGUCAAUGGACGAGAGUCUGAACCAGCCACGUAGCGUGAAGGAUGAAUGCCCUAUGGGUUGUAAACUUCUUUUAUAUGGGAAUAAAAUGUUCCACGUGUGGGAUUUUGUAUGUACAAUAUGAAUAAGGAUCGGCUAACUCCGUGCCAGCAGCCGCGGGAAUACGGAGGAUCCGAGCGUUAUCCGGAUUUAUUGGGUUUAAAGGGAUCGUAGGUGGAUUGUUAAGUCAGUUGUGAAAGUUUGGGGCUCAACCGUAAAAUUGCAGUUGAAGCUGGCAGUCUUGAGUACAGUAGAGGUGGGCGGAAUUCGUGGUGUAGCGGUGAAAUGCUUAGAUAUCACGAAGAACUCCGAUUGCGAAGGCAGUUCACUGGACUGCAACUGACACUGAGGCACGAAAGUGUGGGUAUCAAACAGGAUUAGAUACCCGAGUAGUC